Molecule: ribosomal RNA, 253 nt
Filed under: uncultured bacterium
Lineage: Bacteria
Description: partial 16S ribosomal RNA
Rfam family: Bacterial small subunit ribosomal RNA
Source: RNAcentral
UACGAGGGGGGCAAGCGUUAUUCUAAAUGACUGGGCGUAAAGCGCGUGUAGGCGGCUUUGCAAGUCGGGUGUGAAAGCCCUCAGCUCAACUGAGGAAGUGCGCCCGAAACUGCAGAGCUUGAGUGCCGGAGAGGGUGGCGGAAUUCCCCAAGUAGAGGUGAAAUUCGUAGAUAUGGGGAGGAACACCGGUGGCGAAGGCGGCCACCUGGACGGUAACUGACGCUGAGACGCGAAAGCGUGGGGAGCAAACAGG